Molecule: long non-coding RNA, 1122 nt
Organism: Trematomus bernacchii (emerald rockcod)
Lineage: Eukaryota; Metazoa; Chordata; Actinopteri; Perciformes; Nototheniidae
Exons: 3
Source: RefSeq, a predicted model, not a curated record
UAGCAUUAGCCACCGUGUGGCUAGCUAGCUGUGUUAGUACAAUGUCGUAGUCAUCAAAGGAGCUAGCACUGUUAGUUGUAUCGCUCAUCAAAACAAAGAGGACUCUUUUUAGUGUUUUACAUGUUCGGUGUAAUGACGUAAUGACGUAAAAUGUUUAGGACGCGUCACUGCGGUUGCUGGUCAUUUGUUUUUUUUACCAUAAGCUGUCAUCAAGAAGGAAUGCCAUCAUUUAAUGUCAUGAUGUUUAUAUGUGAACACAUUACACAGUACAUUAGAACUCAGUACACAUUAGCCUAAUUAUUAAAAUAAUGUUGUUCAAUUUUGUUCAAAAUGGAGUCACUUAGCAUUGGCGUUUAAAUGUUACAUUCUAUUAUACAAAAACCCCACUUGUCAUUUGUGUUUGAAUAUAUUGAAUAUUCACAUAUGAAUAUAUUAAUUUGAUUCAAACCAUUGGAAGUUUGCGCACUAUCUCAAGUAUUCACAGCAUAUUAGACUGUAUCUUCUAUCUCUCCAAUUGCAUUUAAUAUAGAGCAUGAACUUAAUAACAUAUUUGUGUAUUUGAGAACAAAUUGAUCAACUGACAGCAAACAUUUUUGAGAUAAUCCCUCUAUGUUUAACUUUCAUUUGCAGAAUGACAAAGCCCAAAAAACAACUGUGCCCCUCCUGCCAGGCCCCAAAUUCCCUUGGGCGUAAAACAUGUGUGGUGUGUGUCUGCCCCCUUCAAAUAAAUAAAAAAAUUUAAAAAAAAUAAGCGGAAUUAAAGGACUCUAGCUGGGGGGCUUCUGUGAAGAGCAACAGGAACGCCAGCAGGACCGUUAAGUCGGCCGAGCUAUCUGUUCUUAAACUACACACCCUUGGCUCCAGCCCGGUCCUUUUCCUUUCCAAUAAGGGCCGCAGUGGGGAGAUCCGUGGGGAUCUGGUCCACCAUUUUGGAAAUGCUGAUGGGGUCGUUAGGGAGAUCCUACUCAAAAUGAGGAAACUCUAUGAGUACCUCCUGAAAAUGUGUGCUGCACAACAAGCUGCAUCGACAUCUGCUGGUCCACCAGCCCCCCCUGGACCAGAGCAAGAGCCAGAGCGAGAGACGGAGCGAGGGACAGAGACGGAGCCAGAGCCAGAGACGGA